AGGGGUAUAGCUCAGUGGUAAAGUACUUGCCUAGCAUGCAGGAAGCCCUGGGUUCUAUCCCUA
This 63-nucleotide transfer RNA is filed under the name Ictidomys tridecemlineatus (thirteen-lined ground squirrel). RNAcentral's name for it is "Spermophilus tridecemlineatus (thirteen-lined ground squirrel) tRNA". It matches the Rfam family "tRNA", at positions 1 to 62 of the family's 71-position model. Rfam says of the family: Transfer RNA (tRNA) molecules are approximately 80 nucleotides in length. The record is from Rfam by way of RNAcentral. Lineage: Eukaryota; Metazoa; Chordata; Mammalia; Rodentia; Sciuridae.